Small nuclear RNA from Hippopotamus amphibius kiboko, 107 nucleotides. The record is from RefSeq and is a predicted model, not a curated record. NCBI's taxonomy places the organism in Eukaryota, Metazoa, Chordata, Mammalia, Artiodactyla, Hippopotamidae.
GUACUCGCUUCAGCAGCACAUAUACUAAAACUGUAAUGAUACAGAGAAGAUUAGCAUGGCCCCUGCGCAAGCAUGACAUGCAAAAAAUCGUGACGCAUUCCAUAUUU